CCUACGGGAGGCAGCAGUGAGGAAUAUUGGUCAAUGGCCGUAAGGCUGAACCAGCCAAGUCGCGUGAAGGAAGAAGGAUCUAUGGUUUGUAAACUUCUUUUAUAGGGGAAUAAAGGUAUCCACGUGUGGAUAUUCGCAUGUACCCUAUGAAUACGCAUCGGCUAACUCCGUGCCAGCAGACGCGGUAAGACGGAGGAUGCGAGCGUUAUCCGGAUUGAUUGGGUUUAAAGGGUGCGUAGGUUGUUUUUUAAGUCAGCGGUGAAAGUUUGUGGCUCAACCAUAAAAUUGCCGUUGAAACUGGAGGAGUUGAGUGUGUUUGAGGUAGGCGGAAUGCGUGGUGUAGCGGUGAAAUGCAUAGAGAUCACGCAGAACUCCGAGUGCGAAGGCAGCUGACUAAGCCAUAACUGACACUGAAGCACGAAAGCGUGGGGAUCAAACAGGAUUAGAUACCCCGGUAGUC
This 460-nucleotide ribosomal RNA is filed under the name uncultured bacterium. RNAcentral's name for it is "partial 16S ribosomal RNA". It matches the Rfam family "Bacterial small subunit ribosomal RNA", at positions 338 to 795 of the family's 1533-position model. The record is from RNAcentral.